Molecule: long non-coding RNA, 750 nt
Filed under: Parus major (Great Tit)
Lineage: Eukaryota; Metazoa; Chordata; Aves; Passeriformes; Paridae
Description: lncRNA (ENSPMJG00000005809.1)
Source: RNAcentral
AUCAGAUAUAAUCAUUAUUCCAUGCUAGUAAUGAUUUUUUUUUCCCCCCAACUCAGAUAUAUGAGCUGGGCUCUACAUACUUCAGGAACCUUUGGAAAAUGCUGCAUAUUUGUGUUUCAGCUGUGAGAUAUCUUCAGCUUCCAGACAUUUCCACUGCUGGAGCUGCUCUUGCCGUGGACUAAUGAAGACAUCACAGGGAGUGAACCACAAGACACUCGUGUCUGGAAGACAAACAUCAGCCUGGGUGAUAUGCAAGCUAGCAAAUACCAGAAAGAAUUUGGAGUAAAGAAGUUUUGGGCCUUGUUUAAAUUGUUUCUGCUGACAAGGUUUACCAUUCCUCAGCCUGAAUACGUAUCCAUUAUUGGGUUUUGUGUGAAGGAGCUGACGUUUACCAAGGUUGCUACUGUUACUAUCACAACAGAAGAAGGAACAGCUGCAGCAAACAGGUUAGACCUGUGCCUUCCAAUGAUCCAUUAACAUGAUGGAGCCAAGAUGCAUGGUGAUGGACUCCAGGUACCAGGGCCAUGGUGGGGUAAAGAAAGGUGAGGGGAGGAAGGAAUGGCAGAGUGGGGCUGUUAGGGACUGUUACCUGCAUUCCUCUGCUCCCUGUACUACUCAGUGGUGAGAGGAAUCAGGAAGGAAGGUGUGGUGCUGCACCAGAGAAGAAGCAGGAGGUGGGUGUUAAUUUUUGUUUGUGUUUCUCACCAUCCAACUCUAUUCUAAUUUGCAAUAAAUUGAAUUAAUUUUCCA